CUACGGGAGGCAGCAGUGAGGAAUAUUGGUCAAUGGACGCAAGUCUGAACCAGCCAUGUCGCGUGAAGGAUGACUGCCCUAUGGGUUGUAAACUUCUUUUAUAUGGGAAGAAUAUGAUUACGAGUAAUCAAAUGCCGGUACCAUAUGAAUAAGCAUCGGCUAACUCCGUGCCAGCAGCCGCGGUAAUACGGAGGAUGCAAGCGUUAUCCGGAUUUAUUGGGUUUAAAGGGUGUGUAGGUGGGCCUUUAAGUCAGUGGUGAAAUCCUGCAGCUCAACUGUAGAACUGCCAUUGAAACUGAAGGUCUUGAGUAUAGACGAGGUAGGCGGAAUGAGUUAUGUAGCGGUGAAAUGCAUAGAUAUAACUCAGAACACCGAUUGCGAAGGCAGCUUACUAGACUAUUACUGACACUGAUGCACGAAAGCGUGGGUAGCGAACAGGAUUAGAUACCCCAGUAGUC
Molecule: ribosomal RNA, 458 nt
Filed under: uncultured bacterium
Lineage: Bacteria
Description: partial 16S ribosomal RNA
Rfam family: Bacterial small subunit ribosomal RNA
Source: RNAcentral